CAUCUUUAUUGACAGUGCCCAAAUUUAAGAUUCAUCAUCUGAUUUCUUCACCCUUCAUAUCUCUAUCAGAAUGAUUUCUUCUCAUCCAGAAUCCUGAGACCCAAGAUGAAACCAGUUCCCACUUCAGAACAGGAAAAGGCUUCAGAUGACACAGGGCCCCACCCUCCCUUCACCUCCUGCCAACAGAGAGACGUCAGCCUUGGCAAGACCUCUGGACACGUCCAUGGGCUGCAGUGGCCAAACUUGCCACGGAUGGUAUUCUGUUCCUACCACAGGCUUUGAUGAUAAUCGCACCUGCCCACCUCCGCAGGGCCGAGGCAGCACAGCACCCAGGCAAAGAAGAUGUGCAAGUCAGCAUUUGGACUUAAAGGAGGCUGAAAGAGCGGGGAAACGGUAAACUCCAGGUCCAGGGUGAAUUGUGUGACAGGUGUGUGAGGUCCCCUUGUGGGGUGAAAGAGAGACUCACCUGAGGGGCCAGGCUGGGGCGGGAAAGCUGCGGCGGAAGUCUUCGGAGCCUUGAUGGGCACGGCGGCAGCGCCACCCCUCGCUGCCCCACUC
Molecule: long non-coding RNA, 558 nt
Organism: Odocoileus virginianus texanus
Lineage: Eukaryota; Metazoa; Chordata; Mammalia; Artiodactyla; Cervidae
Source: RefSeq, a predicted model, not a curated record